This 253-nucleotide ribosomal RNA is filed under the name uncultured bacterium. RNAcentral describes it as "partial 16S ribosomal RNA". It matches the Rfam family "Bacterial small subunit ribosomal RNA", at positions 524 to 776 of the family's 1533-position model. The record is from RNAcentral.
UACAGAGGGGGCUAGCGUUGUUCGGAAUUACUGGGCGUAAAGGGCGCGUAGGUGGCCUGUUAAGUCGAACGUGAAAUCCCCGGGCUCAACCCGGGAACUGCGUCCGAGACUGGCAGGCUCGAAUCCGGGAGAGGGAUGUGGAAUUCCAGGUGUAGCGGUGAAAUGCGUAGAUAUCUGGAGGAAUACCGGUGGCGAAGGCGGCAUCCUGGACCAUAACUGACGCUGAGGCGCGAAAGCUAGGGGAGCAAACGGG